Molecule: transfer RNA, 75 nt
Filed under: Candidatus Marsarchaeota G1 archaeon BE_D
Lineage: Archaea; Thermoproteati; Thermoproteota
Description: tRNA-Met
Rfam family: tRNA
About the family: Transfer RNA (tRNA) molecules are approximately 80 nucleotides in length.
Source: RNAcentral
GCCGGGGUCUCCUAGCCUGGUUAUGGAGCGAGUCUCAUAAUCUCGUUCUCGCGGGUUCAAAUCCCGCCCCCGGCA